This 134-nucleotide small nuclear RNA is filed under the name Mastacembelus armatus (zig-zag eel). RNAcentral's name for it is "U4 spliceosomal RNA (ENSMAMG00000009734.2)". It matches the Rfam family "U4 spliceosomal RNA". From Rfam's summary of the family: U4 small nuclear RNA (U4 snRNA) is a component of the major U2-dependent spliceosome. The structure of U4 snRNA from yeast and human has been reported. U4 snRNA presents a k-turn RNA motif in the 5p-SL related to recognition of Snu13 protein. The record is from Rfam by way of RNAcentral. Lineage: Eukaryota; Metazoa; Chordata; Actinopteri; Synbranchiformes; Mastacembelidae.
AUCCUUUCGCAGUGGUAGUAUCGUGGCCUAUGAGUUUUGUCUGAGACACGAUUAUUGUUAGUUGAAAACUUUACCCAAUACCCUGCUUGAUGAUGUGCUGAAUAUCAAGCUCUAUCACAUAUUCUGAUAACAGG